ACGUCCACAUCAUGUUAAAACAUUGGUUCCCGUACGAUCAUCGAAGUUAAGCAACGUUGAGCCUGAUCGAUACCUAGAUGGAUGAACGCUUGGGAAUAUCAGGUGCUGUAAG
Molecule: non-coding RNA, 112 nt
Organism: Acanthosepion pharaonis
Lineage: Eukaryota; Metazoa; Mollusca; Cephalopoda; Sepiida; Sepiidae
Source: the annotation of a GenBank genome assembly